Molecule: ribosomal RNA, 658 nt
Filed under: uncultured Desulfurococcales archaeon
Lineage: Archaea; Thermoproteati; Thermoproteota; Thermoprotei; Desulfurococcales
Description: bacterial SSU rRNA
Rfam family: Archaeal small subunit ribosomal RNA
Source: RNAcentral
ACMCGAACAGAUGCGGGGGAAGUAUGAAAACCCUUAAAGGGUGAGUGUUCCCUUUAGGGCGGGGAGAAGGUCAUCCGCGGCCAUACCCCGGAGAGUCCCGGCUGUAAACGAUGCGGGCUAGGUGUCGGACGGGCUUAGUGCCCGUCCGGUGCCGCAGGGAAGCCGUUAAGCCCGCCGCCUGGGGAGUACGGCCGCAAGGCUGAAACUUAAAGGAAUUGGCGGGGGAGCACCACAAGGGGUGGAGCCUGCGGCUUAAUUGGAGUCAACGCCGGGAAACUUACCGGGGGCGACAGCAGGAUGACGGCCAGGUUAAAGGCCUUGCCCGACGCGCUGAGAGGAGGUGCACGGCCGUCGCCAGCUCGUGCCGUGAGGUGUCCGGUUAAGUCCGGCAACGAGCGAGACCCCCGCCCCUAGUUGCUACCCGGUCCUUCGGGGCCGGGGCACACUAGGGGGACUGCCGGCGUCUAAGCCGGAGGAAGGUGGGGGCCACGGCAGGUCAGCAUAGGGGCCUAUCCCGAGGGAGGGCCCCGCUGAAGCCCCGAAACCCCCGGGCUGCACGCGGGCUACAAUGGCCGGGACAGCGGGAUCCGACCCCGAAAGGGGGAGGCAAUCCCUUAAACCCGGCCUCAGUUGGGGUCGAGGGCUGUAACUCGCCCUA